GGAGGAGGGAGACAGAGGGAUUCAGCUAUGGGCAGAGGUACAGGGAACAUCAUUAGAAAAGAGCCGCUGGAGCAGAGAACGCCAUAAAAUGGAGAGGGUGAAUGGAGUCUCCACUGGGACUGGAAUCUACUGCGGGACUCUAACAACCAAGGCACGAGCGUAACGCCUGGCAUCCCAACAUUGCGACAUCCAGCAUGUCUCAUUGGUACAAUUUCCAAAAGAAUUAUUGGACAAAACAAGUCACCUUCUAGCUUAUCCCAGGAAGCAAGCGUCAGCGACCCUGAACAUGCAAUCCAGGGAGCAAUGCGAUCAAUUUCCAUAAUAAACCCUUUCAACAUUCUUUUUGAAAGCUUUAGUUCAUGCUGUUUUAAAAGUGACUGAAGUGCCGUGAUCCCCGAAUGUGAAGCUCCCAUGUUGCUCCCUUAUCUACGAGAGAAACUGACACAGGGAGGGGCACCAAGGCUUAUUUACGUCCGGCUAACAGUACCCAACGGCACACCAAAAAAGAAGGGGGGGACACUGCCGCUUAUCUACGUCCGUCUAACGAUGUCCCAGGGAGACAAAGCACUUCAGCACCAGUCUUUAUGGAAACAAAAAUGAAACUAAAAGAAAAAUUACUAAGGUCACCAAAACAAACGCAAGAGCAACUGGGACAAUUAAAUGGGGCGAUAUCUCUUUAAGAGCAGGCAUGCCUCUCAGAACUCACCUUAGAGCUGCAGUUCUGAAUCCUCCCCUCAAGCGCGAGCGAGGGGGUCUCCCCAGGGCUGGCGAUCAAAGGCUGCCCGGCGUCCCGGGCUUCGGCACCAGAUGUUGCCCGUGUAAUCAUCUCGCCAGCAAGAACGCACGCAGACACCAGGAUCCUCCUGCAGCAAGCUUUUAUUACAAUGAAAAGAGGAAGACGAUAACCGCCGGAAAGGUGCUGCUUAAAUACACCCUAUGGCGGCGUGUACUCCGCUGGUUGGCUGCUUGCCCAUUGCCCCAUGUGACGCCCCGGGCUGGGCAGUGACGCCCCGGGCUGGGCAGUGACGCCCCGGGCUGGGCAGUGGCGCCCUGGGCUGGGCAGUGGCUUGGCGCGCUUUUGCAACUUGCACAUGCGGUCUAUUAUUUGUUCAUUAGGGCCGGGGCCGGAUGUCGGCGCCAUCUCGUAAUGGCGAUUGCAUUCUCUCGGCUCUCCACGUCUGGUACCUUCUCCUGUGCCCUUUUCUGGCCUGCAAGCAUAAAUGUAUGCAAGACUGAAUGCAUAAUUAAUAAAUCUUUUAAAAAAACACUUCCUUAGACCCUCAAACAUUUAUAACUUGUAUUUACUAAACUUAAGGCACUUUCUUAGACCCUCAAACAUUUUUUUAGGCUUUGUAUCUAGUUAUUUACCAUAAGUCAUACGUGAGACUACUAUGAACAUUUAUUGUCCUUUAGGUAAAUAAAGGGAUGAUAAAAGUUUCCAUUCAA
Meriones unguiculatus (Mongolian gerbil) is the source of this 1446-nucleotide long non-coding RNA. RefSeq lists it as uncharacterized. The transcript is spliced from 3 exons. The record is from RefSeq and is a predicted model, not a curated record. NCBI's taxonomy places the organism in Eukaryota, Metazoa, Chordata, Mammalia, Rodentia, Muridae.